AACGUAGGACGCAAGCGUUAUCCGGAGUUACUGGGCGUAAAGGGCGUGCAGGCGGUGGGGUAAGUUAGGCGUGAAAGCUCCCGGCUAAACCGGGAGAGGUCGUCUGAUACUGCCCGACUAGAGUGUGGUAGAGGCGUGUGGAAUUCCGCGUGUAGUGGUGAAAUGCGUAGAGAUGCGGAGGAACACCAGUGGCGAAGGCGGCACGCUGGGCCAACACUGACGCUAAGACGCGAAAGCAUGGGUAGCGAACGGG
This 253-nucleotide ribosomal RNA is filed under the name uncultured bacterium. RNAcentral describes it as "partial 16S ribosomal RNA". It matches the Rfam family "Bacterial small subunit ribosomal RNA", at positions 524 to 776 of the family's 1533-position model. The record is from RNAcentral.